AUUGAACGCUGGCGGCAGGCUUAACACAUGCAAGUCGAGCGGGGUGAUGGUGCUUGCACUAUCACUUAGCGGCGGACGGGUGAGUAAUGCUUAGGAAUCUGCCUAUUAGUGGGGGACAACAUCUCGAAAGGGAUGCUAAUACCGCAUACGUCCUACGGGAGGAAGCAGGGGAUCACUUGUGACCUUGCGCUAAUAGAUGAGCCUAAGUCGGAUUAGCUAGUUGGUGGGGUAAAGGCCUACCAAGGCGACGAUCUGUAGCGGGUCUGAGAGGAUGAUCCGCCAAACUGGGACAGAGACACGGCCCAGAAUGCUACGGGAGGCAGCAGUGGGGAAUAUUGGACAAUGGGGGGAACCCUGAUCCAGCCAUGCCGCGUGUGUGAAGAAGGCCUUAUGGUUGUAAAGCACUUUAAGCGAGGAGGAGGCUCUUUUGGUUAAUACCCAGAAUGAGUGGACGUUACUCGCAGAAUAAGCAUCGGCUAACUCUGUGCCAGCCGCCGCCGUAA
This 503-nucleotide ribosomal RNA is filed under the name uncultured bacterium. RNAcentral describes it as "partial 16S ribosomal RNA". It matches the Rfam family "Bacterial small subunit ribosomal RNA", at positions 30 to 523 of the family's 1533-position model. The record is from RNAcentral.